GCUACACAUGCAGUCGAACGGUAAGGCCUUCGGGUACACGAGUGGCGAACGGGUGAGUAACACGUGGGUGAUCUGCCCUGCACUUCGGGAUAAGCCCGGGAAACUGGGUCUAAUACCGGAUAUGACCACAGCAUGCAUGUGUUGUGGUGGAAAGCUUUUGCGGUGUGGGAUGGGCCCGCGGCCUAUCAGCUUGUUGGUGGGGUAAUGGCCUACCAAGGCGACGACGGGUAGCCGGCCUGAGAGGGCGACCGGCCACACUGGGACUGAGACACGGCCCAGACUCCUACGGGAGGCAGCAGUGGGGAAUAUUGCACAAUGGGCGCAAGCCUGAUGCAGCGACGCCGCGUGAGGGAUGACGGCCUUCGGGUUGUAAACCUCUUUCAGCAGGGACGAAGCGCAAGUGACGGUACCUGCAGAAGAAGCACCGGCCAACUACGUGCCAGCAGCCGCGGUAAUACGUAGGGUGCAAGCGUUGUCCGGAAUUACUGGGCGUAAAGAGCUCGUAGGCGGUUUGUCGCGUCGUCUGUGAAAACCAGCAGCUCAACUGUUGGCUUGCAGGCGAUACGGGCAGACUUGAGUAUUUCAGGGGAGACUGGAAUUCCUGGUGUAGCGGUGAAAUGCGCAGAUAUCAGGAGGAACACCGGUGGCGAAGGCGGGUCUCUGGGAAAUAAC
This 672-nucleotide ribosomal RNA is filed under the name bacterium nfme09x71p1. RNAcentral's name for it is "bacterial SSU rRNA". It matches the Rfam family "Bacterial small subunit ribosomal RNA", at positions 48 to 740 of the family's 1533-position model. The record is from RNAcentral.